CAGCUAUUAAUGAAAUGCACUUGGUGUUAAUCGAAUUUUUUUUAACUUUAUGGGAGGGACACACACACACACACACACACACACACACACUCACUCACAAAUUAUGAAAAGCCUGCAAAAGAUCGAAGAGUGAAAACUAUUGUUGGACCGAGUUGGUUUUUACCUCAACAGCGCCACCUUUCGGCAAAGGUCAGUUGAAAUUGAUCCGUGUCCAGUUUUGUUGAAGUGCAAAGAAGCUGUUUUCCCAAAGUGGGAGGAGGAAAGAGGCCCAGAAAGUUAGAUGGACCUUCGUGGUAGAGCUCAACCUUUUAAGAAAUGGGACGAAGAAAGUGCUAGCAAAUCCCGGAAUCAUAUUUUUCCUACUGUCUUGUCCCCCUUCACUGUUAAAAAAAAGAGGCGAGGGCAACUGCUGCCCUGCGGGUGGGAUUCUGGCUGAGAGACCUUUGCAAAUCAGAUCCCAGGUAACUGGGCCCCAAACUCUCUAAAAGUGGCAGGAUGGAUUUUCCAUGGGCUUUAUGGCAAUAUCAAUAGAAUUAAAGUUACUUGUAAUUCAGUGAUAAAUGGGAUGUCUCUAGUAAGUAAGAUUAAGUACAGUGCUUUAAAGUUGUUUAUCUGAAAAGUAAUUCUCAGAAAACCUGACUUCUGACACUUGGUCAUAUAUUAAGCCAGCGUCUUGAACAUUGCACUUCAGAAUAGUCUUACCCACCAGGUCGCAUACUUCACUAUUUAUAAUGAGACUUAGUGUCACUCCCCUGCUUCAUACACCAGAUUAACCCUGUGUUAAUUUCUCUGAUCUUGGCAGCCUUCGGUUCCAGCAAAUUCAGGAAUCCCUACUGGGAGACCUCCCAGAAGAUUUGUAGGGACAUCCUCAUCCUAAAAGGGCAGCACUGUUGGUAUUUUCCUUACAAGCCUGCUACAGAGGAGUUGUUUAUAAGGGUAGUUUGGGUUUGAGGGAAUGCUUUGUUAGGGUGGAAUGAACUGGGUUUAGUCCCAGUAUGGGAAGAAAGAGUGAAGAUUCUAUCAAUAUUUAUGUCAUCUAAGAUAAUUCCCUUGCUUUCCUCCUCUGACAGUAUUUUACCUACUAAUGAAGUUAAAGGAUUUCAGUUUAUGUAUUCAGAGGAAAAUCCACUGCUUAAAUUUCACAAACAUUAUGGUGUUCAGCAUUGUUCAUGAUGUCCAAAGUUUGUGUGUGUGUGUGUGUGUGUGUGUUAAAUGUAGAUUUAUGUGUCCUUGGGAAGAAUUAAUUAUUUUUUGUUUAUGAUAAUUUUUAAAACUCCUUCUGCAUCAUGUUUUUGUUAAAAGCUAUAAAGUAUGAUCCCUGCCUCUCAAAAUAAAAGUAUUUUUGACCAGGAACCCUGAAGCUGCCACAUUUAUAAAUAAACAUUUUAUAAACAGAAUUCACUAAUGACUAAGACCAUGCCAUAGAGUUUCGUGGCCACAUACCUAAUUGUUGCAAUUAUAUAUCAUUUCUAGAAAUUAAAUGCCCAUGUUUGGGCAGCUAAAUGUAUUAUUAUCUGCACAUUUUUUAUGGUUUAUUUCUGUUCACCACUGUUGAGCCGUGGUAUUUUUCUCCCUUUUAUAGUCUCCCAUUUUCUUUUGAAAAAAGAGGAUGAGAAUUAUGUUUUAGAUGUGUAUCAAGAGUGCUCUCAGGCUUGUAACUUAAUUCUCAUUUUUGUCCUUUUUCCUUUAUUAUUUAGUGAUUCACAGGGGUGUCUAAACAUUUACAGUUCUCUGUUAGCAGCAUUUCUUUUAUAACAAUUGAGCAAUCUCAUUUUAAUUAGUACUAUUCAGGUUUCUGAUUCUCUACAAUUACAUCAGGCCACGUUUCUUUCGACUUCUUUUCUAACAUUGUUUGUUUCACUUCCAUCCAAGCCAAUCUAAUCCAAAUACAAUAUGAACUGUGUUUUCUUACUGCUUAAUAUCCCCUCGCUUUAUAUGCUAUAGCAAUCUCUGUAGAACAAUAUAGAGUAAUUUAGAAACCAUGAGUUUGUCAUUAUUGACCAAUUCAAACCAGUAGCAUUAAAGUUUCUGAAAGCAAUGAGUAUUUAUAGAAAAUUCUGAGGGGGAGGAGGGCAUGGGUCGAAUCACGUAGAAGAUUUCGAAACAGUAGCCUCAAAAACUCAUUUGUAGUUUCAUGUCACUACAUACAUAACAACUUCAUGCAAAAGAGGGAGAAAAGCCCUUCAUGUCUACAUUACAAAGAUUAAAAGUUAACAGGAAGGUAUUUUUCCUGAUUGUGAGUUAUAGCAACUCAAAUAUAUCAUGUUGCCUCAGACGUACAGAAUCUGAAAAGAAACAGGAUGCAUUCAGAAUCGCGUCUGAACUCUUUGUUUAUCUGGGAGCUGGUUUUAUGUACAGAACUAAGCAGUGUCCACUAAAUUUUACUAUGAAACCAACUAAAUGGAUUUGAGAAAGUGUUCCUGAGAGUAGUUGCAGGAUAAGGCAGGAGUACAUUGUGCUUAGGUCUAGUGUUAGAUAAAUCCUUUUAACAGUCUUCAGUUAGCAGGGUAAGUAAAUCACAAAUCACUGUUAGCAGAUUCAUGGAAGAAAAUUAAUAGAAUCAGACGAGAUAAUCUGAUAAGGGUAAAAUUGCCGAGGGAAGUCUCUAUUGGCGAAUGUGAAACAACAGUGUGAUUACCAGGAGUCGUUAUGAAUAGGUGAAUUAUGUGCUAAAUAAUCAUCAGAGUAAUUCAGCAUUUAUUAAUUCUUUUCUCUUUAAGCAAUUCACAGUUGUAAGUUAAAGCCUCUCUCUCUCUUUGAAGACAAAUCUUUUAUAAUUUUUAUUAGAGGUAAUUUAUUAUUUGCAUUACCUGUAUUUACUUCAUAAUUGAACAUUUUGCAUUCAAAUUUAUGUAAUGCAUUAUGCUUGAGAAUAUAUUUCUGCCUGAUUAGCAUAAAUAGUCACUUACCUCAUGAAUUACUAACAAAGUUUAUCUUAAAAUAUAGGUUUUUUUAUUAAGUGGAACACAAACAUAUGUACAAUAAAUUCUGAUUUUUCCAGUGCCGUUAGAGAACAACUCAUGUUCGGUUACAGAGAAGCAAGGGGUGGGAUAGUGGGGAGAAAGAAAAAUAGUCAGACGAGACUUAUAGUUCCUUCCCAAGGGUGUUGCUCAGGUGGGGACCGUGGAGAGGGGUAGGGAGGAAGGACAGAAGGGGCAGCUCGGCUCUUCAGACACAGGAUUAUUUAUUGGAUGAUCUUGACUCUAAAUGAGGAGUCCAAAAGACAAACAAAAGACAAUUGGUGAUCUCUACUCUGUGGAGGGCCAGGGUAGACAGUCAAUAGGAUUGAUGGUGUUUGGGGAUAUUUUAUUAUUUUUAUUUUUAUUUUUUUGGUUAUUCUCAGGGUUCUUCCUUAAAACACGAUUCACACAAUUUCAUGAAAUACUUGUUUUGCACAAGAGACGCGAACAAUCCAGAUGUUUUCUGGGAAGGUGUGCCGGUUUUGUCAGCUCUCUUUCCUUGCUUCACCCACAGACACCCAGCAGGCACUGGGAGAUAGUAAGUGUCUGCUGAAUAAAUAUCUGUGGGGACACAGGGACAUUGGAGCCAAAGGACUUUUUCUGGUUUUAAGCAAGGGAUAGAGAUGAAAAAUGAUGGGCCCUAUUUCCCCACUCUGGCCACUCCAACCCUGCAUUUCCAUGCUCGGCUCUCUUUCCCUUUCAGUUUUUCAGGGGAAGGCGCACCCUUAGGUUUUUGUUCCUUCAAUUAGGGGCUGCUUAUGAUUCCCUCUUCCCUUGUCACCCCUUUGGAUCCUAUUCACAGCUUACACCAGUGAGGGAAUCUGUCACCAAAGCAUUCAGCGCUUCGAAGAAUUUUAUUGUGUACUCAGAGUUGAUUAAAAAAAAAAAAGUAGAGAUCUAAAAAAAGUGGGGGGGACCUGAUAGCCGAACAAUCUUUCUGUGUGUUGUGUCUUCACGCAUGAUAACUGGAGGAUCGCUCCGAAGUGGUGCUUGCUCUGUGAGUUUGCUUGCCUGCCUUCCUGCUCCUGGUGAUGUGGCGAUUCGAACCUCCUGUUCUAGAAGCUUUUAGCAGCUGUCCCACUUGGGAAAGAAGUUAUAGAAAAUACAGGGCAAACUUAAAUUCUCCCGUGAUGACAGGGGAGGUCUAUGGAUGCAGGUGGUUUCUGAAUCUGUCUGUUUCUGAAUUAACUUGUCUGGGGCCUGAGACCAGAGGUCCCUUAUAGCCCAGUCUUAUGUCUUAGUUCUUGGUCGCACAUGAGCGUGGCUGAGCUUUCUCCCGUGUUGUUCUUUGUCAUGAAAAUCUUGCACAGGCCCAGCCACAGCCUCAGAACAUCGGCCUUCCCAACCGUGUUCCUGAUCUAACCAAGAAUGAAAAUUUGACUAACAGCUCUGCCUACCCAAAAUAAAAAUUCAAGUCACACUUAUAGACCUUCUGAUAGUAUUGUUAUUUAGGAAUUUUAUAAUAGUGAGACAUGUUCUUUGUUGAAUAUAAAUAUCAGGACAAGAUAGCAAAAGGAGGCCAUCAAACCAAAGAACAGCUGUUCCUCAUCUCUACCCAGCACCUGUCCUUGGUCUCAGGAGUGACCAUCUGAAACUGAUGGGGUGCACACGUUUGCUGUUUUAUAACAGAAUGGAGUCUAAGCAUGUGCAUGGUUCGGAACGCAUCUGCCUGGAUCUCAGGAAAAAGCGUUUGGAGUGCUUAUCUGGUUUUUGGUGGAUUUCAUCUAAUGGAAUCUCAUGGUGUAUGUGUGUGUGUGUGUGUAGGGGGUGGAUAUUUAGAGGCCUGACUGUAGCACUCUCCUUUCAACCAAUGUACAAGUUUGAAUCUGUUUUGCCAGCCCUUGGUAGGUGAGUUGGCAGCAUGCAGGGCUGACUUCACCAGUGGCACAGCAGAGACAGUGGCCCAUGGGACUGCUGUGGGCACCCAGAGACAUUUUGAUUACUUUUAAAACCAGAAAAAAAGAAAAUAUAAUGUAGCAUGGAUUACAUUCAUCAUACCAAUGCAGUCAUAAAACAUAAUUAUAUAUACAUAUAUAUACCUAUGUAUAUAUGUAUAUAUAUGUACAAGGGGCCCAUGGAAGCCAAAGUCCAGAACACACAGAAGUACUUGCCUGAUUCUAACAGCAUUUUCUUGGUCACCUCCAGUGACAGCUCACUACCUGCCAGUUUUACCUGUACUCUCCAUUUGUUUAUUUGUUUUAGCAUGCGGUCUUACCCCUUCGUGUAGAUGUUAGUCCUAUUUUAUAUGCUCAAGAGGCCACACACUCAUGGGAACCGAAUGGGCCACAGGGUCUUUGGGAAGUUGAAAAGAGCCAGUAGGAUGCCCUUUCCCUCCCUUCUGUUUCUCCUGCUAAACAGAGUCAGUGACUUUGGCAUGUCCAGCCAGGUCUGCUUUCUUUCCAGCACCCUGCCUCCUGGCCACUAGUUCCCAGAGAGGCUGGCUUGGCCACUGCCAUGCUCCUCCCAGGAUUCAGGUCCCAUAGCUAAGCCCGGGUGCCCAGGUGUGAUCCUCUCAUCACACAGAGAGCAUGUCUGCCUCCUUGAGCUGCAGUACGUCUGCUCCUGAUGCUUCUAAAUCCCUGAGCCUCUCCAGACACACAGCACCCGGAGCUCAGUGCUGCGCAGUGGAUGUAAACUCUGGGCCUUUUCUCCUCCUAUUUCCUCCAUCCUGGAUUUGUGAACUUACCGUUUGGAACCCAAGCACAGAAAUGUACAAUGAUCUCCAGUAGAUUUAAUUUCAUUUGAUUCAGCCUGAUCCUUGCUUGUCUAUCUCUCUUUGGAUCCAGAAGGUGCUAUUCACUGGUUUUACUUUGCUUCCCAGUUUUGCGCCAGCUGAAAAGCAAUGGAUAUGCUUUUUGUAAGAUGAACCUGUCUUACCCGGGUCCCUCCUCCGUAGAUUGGGAAAUGGUCAGGAUUAGAGACUGGGCCUGGGAAGUGUCUCACACAGUACGGGGCCACAGAGGAGCUGGCCAUCUCCUGCAUCCCUACCAUCCCUCUGGGUUGUGGAUGACAACACUGGAAGUGACCACCCCUCUCAACCCCCAGUGAUCACACAAAGUGACCCACCAGGACAUUCAAGCCUGUCGAUGGAUAUUUUAAAUGGAGACAGCCUACUUGGUAAUUGGGAUAAUUUUAAACUAAAUUUCCCCAUCUGGAUAUCCUGCACAUAUCUUUCUAAUGAAUUCUGAAAUAACUUCACUUUUCCGUAGGGUGGGCAGAGCUCUCUGUUGAACAGGCUGGCUUCCUGGAUAACUGUGUCCCUGUUGAACCUGACUUUGUCUUUGUAAACCCUUUGCCCUGUCAAAAUGCACAUAACAGUUGCCCAAAGUUGGGACCUCAGAGACUGAUAAAAAAUAGAUAAAACCUAAAAAAAAAAAACUCAACAGAAAGGUUCUGUGUACGUAUAAAAGCAAAUUUGAGCUCUGAUUCUUUCCUCUGUGGUUUUUCUCUGGUUUAGAUCACCAACUUCCCUGCCAUUUCCUGAUGCCCAUUUUGAGGCCAAGAAGCUCGGAGGCAUUUCCUGGAACAGAAAAGUUCAGAGUUUCAAGUGUCCACCUUUGAGCUUAGCUAGUCCCCCUGGUCUCUCUUGAAGGGACAUAAAAGUGCAAGCUUUUGCAAAAUCUCCCCUCCGAGGUCCACCUGGCCCCCUUUCAGAGAGACCUGGGAAUGACAGUGGGAAGCAGCCCAUGAGUUAUGUAUGAUGGGCUGUCUGUGUCCUGCCUGAGCGAGCUCAGCUCUCGCUGGUUCACGCAGCCCAGGAUCCUGAGGGCUCAGGAGGGAGGAUGGGAACCCUUUGGGGAAGCAUCCCUGACUCGUGAUUCUGCGAAGAGCUGCUGAUUGGAGAUGAGGCUCAGGGCUGUCGCAGGGAGGCUCGCUCUGGUAGAUGGGGCUGGGAAAUGGAGCCAGCCGGAGGUGGCAGGCUCGGAGCUUGGCACCCAGAUCUGCUGCUUCCCCUCUGCCCUCAGCGAAGCCCUUUACCAUCUUCCUCCAACUUAUUUUUCAGGCUGUAAUUGUACCAAACUGCAUGAAGGGGGGAAAAAUCCUGGCCCCCAUAGAGGGGCCAGGGAAGCGCCAUUCAGCCCUUCAACUCUGAAUGUGAAGCAGGUGAACAGGGAGCCACACCCACAGACACAGACCCACACUGCCCUGCUGGGUUUCACUGCCAACCAUGGGUCACAAUGGCAAAGUCAGAACAUCUUCAAGGUCAAAAUGACAGAGCCAGCAAAGCAGGGUCCGAAGGACAAGGUCAAAUCCUUUGCAUCUUCAGAGAUGAUACUGGUUUAGGUAGAAAUUAUUUAGGGCCUUUGGUGGCAGCACAGUGAGGAGAAUGUUGUAGAUUUCUCAAGGUCAUCUGACAGGUACCUCUCACAUGCCAGAUAUGCCUUGCUUUGGCUCCAGGCCAACAAGUGUGUGAGUCCUGCUCCAUCCCAGGUGUAGAUCUUGGGCAGGUGAGCUGACCUUGGUGGGCCACAGGUGGAGGGGACUUUGGUGAUGGGUUGUGCAUGCGUACUAGAUAGUGGCACAGUGCCUGCCCCAUGGGGAACAUUCACAAAAGGAUGUGCCAGCAACUGAGCAGAUGUUCUGUAUACAUUGUUUCCCAGGGUGGGGUCCUGGGCAAACUAGGAGUGGGUUAUUGCUCUCCCCUUCUAUUGUUUAUACUCCCACCUUCAAGCUGCUCCCCCCUCAGCCUGGCCUCUCGCUUUCCCUCCCCCGACUCAGCAGGAUUUUGCUCACCUGGAAUUCCACCAUCUCCCACGUUCCCUGCCCUCCGUGGAGGCAUGUUAGCCCCUCACCUCUCAUGUGUGCCUUGGAGCUUGAACACGCCCUCUCCUCUCUCCAGGUCCUUUACCUGCUUGGCCCACAGUAGGUGCUCAACACGUGUUUAUCCAGUGGAGAUGACUGAACAUGUGCUCAGAUUCCUUGUCAGUUUUUCAAUUCUAACUCACACAGGGGAGCUGGCGAAAUGCCCCAGAAAGCACGUCUGUGAUGGGGGCAGGGUGGACGGCCCCUCCUUGCAACACAACGGCUCCUACGUCCACUUCUCACUAAUCCGAUUGGCCCAUCCCUCAGCUACCAGGAUGCUCAUCUGGUUCAUUGCUUCGCCUCUAUCUUUCCAAGAUAGAACUGGGUGGAAAACGAUAAAUGUUCCUGAAUGAGCUUUGGGAUGCAGGGAGGGAUGGGAUUAAGUCCCCGGGAGUAAGCAAGGUGUCUACUGCAGAUCUUCCAGCUGCUGUCAAGAGGGCUGGCUCCAGCUUUGUGCCACAGGUGCCUCCCCAGGGCUUCAAAGCACAGGGACACUGGUUUGUAAUCCUCAGAUAACAAUGCAAGGCCCGCCCCAUUUCCACAUGCCCCAAUCCUGCCCAUUCCUCAAGGCACAGCUCCCACGCCCAUAGCACCCAGUAGGCAUUUAAUGAUGCCCCUGGUUCCAGAAGCCCUCCCUGGCUCCUGCCUUUUCUUUGGGGUCCCCUCAGUAGCUGCUCAGCUCCCCCUAGGGAGCCCCCUGGUAUAGCUUUGGGAAGUGGUACAGUGCGCCAGAGAGGCCGGGCCAUGAGUGACCAGCUUGGUGACCUGAGGAGUCCUCCAUGUGCUUCCACACUCAGUGCCUCCAUCUACACAAAGCCAUGCCACUCGGCUCUCUCUGGGUCGCAGGUGAAAAAACAUUGACCUAAACUGGUUUAAGCAAAAAGGAAACAUUGGCUCACAUGAGCAAAAUCUCCAGAGACAGAGCUGGUGUCAGGCCUGGCAGGACAGGGGUCAUUUGGUGUCCUUGGAACUGGCUUUCUAUGUCACCUUCAGCCAGGACUUCCCAUGGAAGCAGGAAGGCUGGGUCAACUGGAGCCCUAACUCCUUCCAAGCUGAGUCCCCAGUAGGCUACACUGGAGUCACCGUUUGGGUCACAUCGGAAUGGCUCAUUUGAAGGGUUAUAUGCCCACCCUGAGCCAACCCCUAUGGCAAAGUUAUGAAAUAUGUGAUUGGCUCAGACAUGGGGUGGAACAGGGGCCUAGGAAAUGCUCUGAGCCUCUGUAUAGAGGAGCUGUCUCCCUUGGUGACAUUGUGGAGCCUGCCACCAAAUCCUAAGAACCAGCAGGUACCUGAAACUCAUUCAGGUCUUGUCCUCAAUUUGAACCUAUUGGACAAUCCCAGAGCCCCAUGAGACAUGUACUGCUGGGGCUUCCCUUGAUCAAAGAGGGAGCUAAGGUGCACUUUUCAGGGCUUUUCCAAGGUCACCUUGGCUGGUGAGCAGUACAAGUUAUGAGUCCAGACAUGGCUGCCAGGUUUGCACUCUUACUUUCUUUUAUAAUCUAUUGUAAGAGGGAGACAGCCAAGAAACAAAUAUACAAGUAAACACCUAAUAUAAUGUAACAUAAUAUUUCAUGCCAGGAUAUACAAUAGAAUAUUCUGUAGCACAACAUGGUAUCGCAUCAUAUUGGGGCAGGCACUGGUAAGCAGUCCAUCUUUGUGUCCAUCCCAAGAGCAUUUAUUGUGAGUGUGGCUCAAGGAGGUGUGUGCCUGUUGGCUGGCUGGUGAAUAACUCAUUUUAUGUGCACAGUGUGAACCUUUGAUCGCAAAUCCUUGUUUCUUCCAUAGAAACAUCAUCAUUGUAUAUUAUAUAUUCAUCAUCAUUAUAUAUUAUAUAUUUCUGUGAUUGUUUCUAUCUCACAAGAAGAACAAAUGGUUAAAGUUCAAGGAAAAAGCAGGUGAGCUGGAAUUUCUAGAACUAUAGCUGUGGGUGUUUAAAGAUAUCGGACGGACCUGUGUCCCUGAGACUCUCUUCUUGGACACUCUUGGAGGAAACGAUCUGAGGAAAUCUGUUUGACAGGUAGAAAAGGAGGUAGGUGGCAAAUGCAAAUGUUAAAGAGCUUUUGAACUUAAUCUCCCCCUCCUCUCUUUUAAAAGCAUGCUCUGGAGUUUUGGGGAAUUUCCAUGACAGUCUCUAAAUUGGUGUUUGCACCACACAAGCAGGCAUUGGGCCUUUUGCAGGGUUUGGGCGAGUGUUCAAGUGCACAGGGUGAGCUGAGAGGUGGAGGUUUGGGGUUUUAUUAAUAAUGAAGCAUAGUCACCCUUCUGCCUUCUCAAGGCACGGAUACUAAGUGAGCAAAUAACCUUGAGCUCCUCUCCUCACUCUUGUCUCCCAACUUGCAGCCCAGCGAUACAUAAUUUAAUCAGAUCAUAAAGCAAUUAUAAAAAUGCCCUGAAAUGAUGUGCACACGUUCACAUCUGUAAUCAGAAUGGCUAACAUCUCCCUCCCUCCACCACCAUGGUGUAAUCCUGGUGUGAUUUCAGUUCCAUGGAGGUGACUAAGAGUCUAGUCAUUAAUGCAACGCCCACAAACUUUAUUGGAAUAUACCGUCAGAAAAAAAUCUGUUUUUAAAAACUGCACGGGCUGAAUGCAGCUGCAAGUGCCAGUCCCUCUUAGCCAUUGCACCGGCCGUUUUCAUUGUUGGAAACCCUUUCAAAACUGUGCACCAACGAGAGGUUGCUGUCCCUUUCCUACAUCUCAGGGAAGGUGCGUUUGGUAUAAAGUUAUUUGAUAGAGGAAUUAGGCUUCUAGAAGCUCUCAAAUUACUGCCUAGAUUUUCACCUUGCCAACAGUAUUGGGAUGAUUUGGUUGUGGUGAUGUUGAAGACGUGGAGAAGGAGGAAGAGGAAGAAGAGGAGGAGGAGGAGGAGUCUAUAGAACAUGCAUGAUCCAGCAGUGAUUCAAAUACAGAAUUUGGGAAAAUUUUGGCAAGACAAAUGCUCUAGUUUCUUCAAUAAAUAAGUGACCUGUAAAAAGAAGGAGGAGAAGAGAGACCUACCAGAGGUUUAAAGAGAUCUUCUUUUAGGUCUAAAAGAAGUUACUGGAACCCAGAGACGUUGCAACAGUCAUGUGAAAGCUGGCUGGCAGGGGAUGUGAGGGGCGUGUAUUAGUUCUCUCUUAUCUGUGGUUUUGCUUUCCCUAGUUUGUUAUUUGUGGUCAAAUGUAGUACAAAAAUAUUAAAUGGAAACUUGCAGAAAUGAAGCAUUCAUAAGUUUUAAGUUGCACACCAUUCUGAGUAGCAUUAGGAAAUCUUGAGCUAACCUUCUUCAGCCUACCCAGAAUGUGAGUCACUCUCUGUUUAGUGUAAUCAUGCUGUAUAGGCUACCUGCCCAUUAGUCACCUAAUAGCCAUCUUGGUUAGCAGAUCAAGUGUCUCAAUAUUGAGUACUUGUGUAUAGGGUUCAGGACUGGUUGCAGGUGUCCACUGGGGGAUUUGGAACAGAUACCCCUCAGAUAAAAGGUGGUAACAGCACUGUGUUUUUCAUCUGUCCCCCAAAGUACCUGUCAUUCCAGCAUGGUGACUGAGGUACCAUGCUGACUGAGGUACCCAAGCAGGUACUUCUUUUAUUUCUUAUUUUUUUUUUCUGGGGGUGUACCAGGGAUUGAACUCAGGGGCACUUGACCACUGAGACACAUCCCCAGCCCUAUUUUGUAUUUUAUUCAGAGAUAGGGUCUCACUGAGUUGCUUAGUGCCUCAUUUUGUUGAGGCUGGCUUUGAUCUUGUGAUCCUCCUGCCUCAGCUCCUGAGCCACUGGGAUUACAGGCGUGUGCGGCUGCACCUGGCUGGCGCUUCCUUGCUUGGGCUUCACUUUCAGCCUGGCUGACCCAGAAUUCCUCUGGGUAAAGCCCCUUCCUCCAGAGGCUUCUUUGACUGGUUCUCCCUCACCAAAUGAUGAUCCCCACCUGGCUGGCAGGGACCCUGGCAUGGCAUUUGUGAUUGGACAUUGUAAUUAUGUACAUAUUUCAAUGUUUACAAAUGGGAGGUAGCUGUAGAUUCACACUCACCAUAAAGAAUAACGCGCAGAUCCUGUGCACCUUGAGCCAACCUCUCCCAGAGCUGACACCUUACAUGACAGGAGUGAAAGAGCAGAGUUGGGAAGCCACGUGGUUACAAUCACUACCUUAUAUGAGUUUCACCAGGUUUACCUGCACUUGUUGUUAGUGUGUGUGUAUGUAUGUGCAUAUGUGUGUGUGUGUAUGCAUGUGUGUGUGAGCACCUUGCCCUCCAGGGAAUCUCAUCAUGUGUGUAGGUUUCUGGGACCACAGCCACCAAGUCAAGGUGCAGAGCAUUUCCAGCACAAGGGUUCCUUGUGAUGCCCUUCGAGGUUGUCUUUUAGCCUGCCUGCUUCUCCUGGGACUCUGAGUGUCUUCAAGCAGGGCCUUAGGUUCAGUCCUGGUGUCCUGGUCCGGUUAACGUUAGCCAGCGUCUGGCUCCCAAGUGAUUCUGUAUAAAUGCUUACGGAGUAGAUCCAGAUUCUGCCGCAGAAGGAGAGUAGGAAAUGAGAAUUCUUUUAGAUAAAUGUUGGUGGAAAGAGCAAGAAAAAAUAACCCCAGGCAUGGAGUACAAAGGAGGCGCAGUAUUGGGGCAUCUUUUCCCUCUGCAAAGGAUCGCCUAGAUCCUGGCAGCAACAAUGGGUUCGUACAAUCUUAACAAAGCACUUGCUCCUGUGGUCCAAAUGGAAACCUGCUUCCAGAGAGGUACAGAGUGCUUUGUGAGGUCAGAUAUGAACACCAAACUUUGAUUCUGUGGUCUCAGUUUGAUCCCUUCUGUAUCACUUUUCCAGGAACAUGGGGGCUCUGCAGCUAAUCCACUGGGACAUCUUGACCCAUGACCAGCUUUUCCUCCGCGACGCUUCACCUCAACAGGAGCCAGCCUCCCUGGGGCUCGUGGUGAUUCCAGCCAUGGGCCACAUCAGGCCUCGUAGGGACAGUGACUCGAGCAUUGAGUGUAUAGUAAGAGUCUUGGGUUUCUCAUCUCUAGACCACCUCAGGAUAGAUCUGGAAGGAGGGAUGCCUUCCCUCAUUGGCUCCUGGCCCCACUCUAAUGGCAGAGGUUUCAGAGAACAUCUUAGACCAGUGUGCUCCUCAGGUGCACAGUCAUGAACCUCAUCGAUGCAUGAUGCCUCCCCGAGACCUUGGGAUCCCUCGGAUUUGGUGAAUUAAGGAACAGCGAACUGUGUCAGAUGAUGUGGAAUUCCCCACCAGCCCACAUCUUGGAAGGGCAGUGACCGGCUGCCCAGAACUGACAUCACAGGGUCAGAUCUUCAUUGGUGGAAUCUCAUCACAUAUCAGGCUUUGUGGUGGGUAGUCUGUGGGGUAAGAGAAAAAAAGAGUCCUGUUUCCCAUCCACAUAUGAUUUCCUCUGUCCCUCCAUCCAUCAUCUCCCAUCCCUCCAUCUGUCUGUGCACUCAUCCAUCUAACAUCCUUCUGUCCCUCUGUCCACCUGCUCCUUCAUCUGUUCAUUCAUCCAUUUUUAUGUUCAUUCCCAUUUGGGUUUUUAGUAGCUCCAGGGGACGUGUGAAAAGACAUUGAGCAAGAGUAGCUUUUGGACUUCCUUGCAUUAUCGUCCAGACACUAAUGUGUUUUUGCUUCUUAGACACAACAAGAACGCCAGUCCUUUAGAAUACAUAUAGAACUGCUCAUUGGAGACAAGAGAAAAGUCACUUGUCCUGUGUUAACUAAGAAAUAAACUGGGAAAUAUGAAUAGAAAGUUGAGCUGUUGUGAACAGGAUGCUCUUUCUGCUUUCAUAGCACUUAAUAGAAUUUGUUUUCUAGUGUCCAGAAGCAAAAAUUUCAUGGGAUGGGUAUGUAUAUGUGUGUUUAUUUGUAUGUAUAGACAUAUACGUAUAUACACACACAUAUACAGAGAGAGGCAUAUGUGUAUGUGGGUCUAUAUAUUAUUAUAUAUCUAUCUUCACUGGCAUCUGUUGAGAUCUCGGGGGCAUCUACUCAUAUCAAAUGGAAUGUACUGAUUAUUUGGUCUCACCUGUGGAGAAUUAAAGAUUUCACAGGUUUUACGGGCACGGGCACAUCUUAUGAAUGAAAGUCCGGGUCAGCAGGCUCAUUCCCAUUGGUCUUCCCAUUGCUCCAUGAGAAUCAACUUAUCUGCACAGAAUCAAACAUUCUUUUAAAGGUCUACAGGUGUAUUUGACACCUGGCAGAGGGACUAGGGUGCUCGCCUGAAACAACAGAGUUAUCACAUGAACUUGGAAUGAACGCUUCAUUAUUCUAGAAAUAAAAUAAUACUCCAUUAUUCUAGAAAUGAAAUUCGACUGUUCACCUGUUUUCUUCCAAUACAGUGACCUAUACUAAUAAAAAAUGCCCAUAUUGCCAAAUUCUGGGAUAUAUGGAUUUUUCACAAAAUUCUUAUGUUUUGCAAACAGAAGUCGAGAAAAGGAGGAGGGGGAGGAGGAGGAGGAGGAGGAGGAGGAGGAGGAGGAGACCAGGGAAAGGGCAGGAGUGGAGGUACAGGGACAUGAAGCCAGGGCUGGCCCUACUCAUGCAGAUUCCUGCAGGAACAGAGCGGAGACACUGGAGGGAAUGAGAGACGUCCACAGAGCGGGUCAGGGCCUGUCCUGCUUUGACCUUCACAGGAUGGAGCUGUUAAGGCCGGACCUGAGGCACCUGUCCUGACUUCAGUGUUAUGGAGUCAAAGAAUACCUACUUAGCACAGUUUCAGGGACUGGGCUUCUUUCAUUGCUCUGAGGGAGUCUGUGCCUCCUCUUAACUAAGCCUCUGACUGUUCUGGAUCUCUCUGUGGGUCCCCAGGUGGAUACAAUGUCCGGGGGAGUUGGAGAGACCCACUGUGGCCCUCUGGGUUUGUGUUUCCUCAUUAUCUGUAAAAUGUCGGCACUGUCCUAAAGGGUCCCUGAACCUUAGUAGUCUACGCUUCUGUGCACACACGCGUAUUCUUCAAGUUAGUUCUCGUGGCAAGGUGUACCCGUGUCUUGGCACAGUCACUGGCACGUGGCAGCCCCUGAGAGUGACGUUUGGUUUUCUUCUUGUUCCCAUCUCAGGAGGCCCAACAUCUCUGCUGAUAUUUCAACAGUUUCAGUGGAAUCAUCCAGCAACCUCUGUGUUGCCAUUAUAGCUGCACACUCUUCUGGACAGUGCUUGGGGAUUUCCGUGAGGAAAGAAGAAGUCUUGCUCAAGCCCUGGUGAGGUAGACAGGACCUGGAAGUCUCCAACUCUCCUGACUUUGUGCUCUUCCUACCACCUGCACGGCCUCUCUUCCUCAUCCUGCAUGAGCUGCGAUUCACUUGCAUCUCGGGGAGGCUCCUUGACAGCGGGGACCUGGGAAGAGAUUGGCACCUGGGCUAUCCAGGUAGGUGCAGCCACUGCCCCUGCUACUACCCUCCGCUCACUGAGAGAAUUCACAGAAACGUGUGACUCGGCUUGUUUUUCUUCUAAGAACCGGAGGUGAAUGCUUGCUCCUUGGAGGAAGUUCUGUGGCUCAGAGAGAGAGAAACCAGAUCAUAUGCCAAAGUGACCUUUCUCCCCAACUGUCGCGCAACACACAAAGCUAAUUAGCCAGGUUCUAAUUGGGUUGAAGUCUGAGAGUCCUGGGGAAAGUGGCUCCGCGAAGAGGACACAGUCUGCAGGGUCCCCGCUUGGGCCUGUUCUCCCUCGGUGACUUGUGUAUUAAAUUGGUUGAGUUUACUGGCCACAAGCUGGGUUUUCAGAUGGGAUGGCUUGGCAGCCAGCCCCUUGGAACCUCUGAGCCUAGCUGCGGUUUCUAGUCAGCAUCCUGGAAGUCGGGAUGGGCCGGGAUGGCCGGGAUGGCCGGGGCGACCGUGGCUGUGAGUUCUUCUUGCAUGCAACCACCGUGUCCUUGCCUGAGCGGGAAGACAAAUUCACACAACGGGGAGUGGCCACAUGUGGAGGCAGUGGGUACACCCAGGCUUGCAGGAGAACCGACGUGAGGCGGAAACCUGGGCUGUGGGGGCUCACUGAGGGGGCUGUGCCAUGGCUGAGGAGCCUGGAGCUCAGACCAGCGUGCGGUGAGCCUCCACCCACACCAAGAAGCCAAGAUGUGGCACAGGGCAGGGCGCAGGCUUGGGAAACAAAGCCUGCCUCCUCGCUGACCCCCUGAUGGGAAGCAGGCCAGCACCAGGCUCUGGUCAAGGGCCCAGGGACACCAAAGCCACUUGGCUUCGGACUUGAGGGCUAACCUAAGCUUUGCGCAAUGCCAAGAGAGCAAUCCCGCUCCUUUAAUUCCAGUGCAGACCUUGGAUAAUGUGGGAAGGUAAAGAAAAGGAAAUCACGAGCCAGGUCGCGCGCUUUAUUUUCCGGUAGCUCCCAGGCGUGGUUCACAGGGCCAUCACGUCUUAGUACACACAGGUGGCGUGCGCUGCGUUACUCAAUGGCAGGCACCUCGUGACCCUUCUGCACGAAUCCAGGAGUGAGAAGACGGGGCAGGGAAUGUGAAAGAGAAGAGCAAAGGGAGCAGCUGGCCCUGGAGACAGUGACCAGACAGGACGUCCAACCUGGUGUCGCCCCACCGCAGGGGUUCACUGGGGGUGGAACUUCUUUUGGGGAGCUGUGUGUGUCAUGUGCCUGCUUCCAGAGGGCCAAGGGCGUUCCUACUCCCAAGGCCCCUUCAGAGACACUUCAACACCCUGACCACCUCCUCGUCCACUAAAGCUUCCCAGCCCACCCUGGACACUUUCGUUACGGAGUCGAUCACUGACUAUUCGUUCCUCGUUUUCUCCAUCUGUCUGUGAGAUCUUUGAGGGCUUGGAUGGUGUCUUACCUUCACACCCCCAAGAGAGCAGAGUUGCCAGCGGUUAUAACGUGAAUGACUAGAUGAGGAAGGAAGUCAGUCAGUCUGGAAAUCAGAGCUGCUGUGCAGGAAAGAGACCCUGCCCCUAGGGUGGUCCCCGGGACGGUCCCUGGGACCAGAGAGCGAAGACCUUGUCUCAAGAUUCCAUGAGAAAGGCCAACCCGUGCUUCCGCCUGCUCAUUAUUUAUCACAAUCACUUAAACCAGCUCAAAGCCCUCCUCUCCCCAAAAGGACCCAAGGAAAAGUUGACAUCUAAUGUCGGUGAGUUACAUGAGUUACGUGUUCCUGGGUCAGUCGACUAGACGUCUUUCUUUCUUUUCUCUUUGUUUUUCUUUUCUAUUUUCAUUUCUUAUCAGCACAAAAGAAUGUUCUUUUGUUUUUGAUUUUACCAGAAGUCACACUUGGGUGUGGAUGAAGAGUCAAGAUAAGUUUCUUAGUAAAGGAAGCACCACGAUUCUCUGCCUGUGCGUUGAAGGUGGCCUGGGGAAGCCCGCUGUCUCAAGGGGACCACAUCCUUUCCAUGAAACGCCCGCCCGUCUCCAGGCUCUGCCCACCCCAGCCUGCUCACCUGCAUCCAGUCUUUGGCAAUCGAGAGUGAAAAGGUCAACAACCAAAAGUUUUCAAGCCUCCCUAGAAGAAACAGCCUCCUCUUUCCAUUACGUUUCAAUUAGAAGAAAAAGGCAGAUUUUGAGGAAAUGAGCCCAUGGGAAGGGGAUAAUAGGAAAGAGCUGCGAGGCACAGAAGCAGCCUCCUCCGUGGAGAGCUAGGCAGGCAGCCUUCACUACUCUCCCCUCCAUCAGUCCCCAAGCCCCAAGUGGCCCAGCUGAGGUCAACCUGAGCUCCUUGCCACUGUAGGGCAUUUACCCCCUUUUCUGAAAAACAGCUUUGUUGGGAUAUAAUUCGGAAAACAGGCACUUCUCCCCCGGGAAGCGCACAAGCCAUGGAUUUUACUGUAUCCGCAAGAUCAUGAGCCAUCAUUUCUGUCUAAACCCAGAACCUCCUCGUCACACCCCCUGCAACUCUCCUGACCAUCAGUGGUCACUAUCUUCUCCUCCCUGGCCCCUGGCAACCACCCAUCAACCAUCAGGGUCUAUAGAUGUGUCCAUUCUGGACAUUUCGUAUGAGUGGGAUUGUAUAAUGCGUGGUCCUUCGUGCCUCUUCCACUCAGCAAGACGCUUCUGAGAUUUAUCUCCAUGUUGUAGUGUGCAUUAGCACCUGUUUCUUUACAUGGCUGAAUACUAUUCCACUUUAUAUGUGCAACUCACUUUAUUCAUCUGUUCGUCUCCCUCCCACUCCAUCCCUUCUCAGCUCUGAAGACUGACCCCAGGGCCUUGUAUGGGCUAAGCACCUGCUCUGUCUCUGAGCUAUACCCUUAGCCUAUCUGUUCCUCUCUUGAUGGUCAUUUGGAUGUUCCUGCUUUUGGCUAUUUGGCGUCAUCGGCUGUGAACAUUCAUAUACAAGCUUUUGUGGGGUUGUGCUUUCAUUUCUCUUGGGCAUGUUUAAGAGUGAACUUGCUGGGUCACAAAAAGCCAAGUUUAAUCAUUUGAGAAACGGCCUGUUUUCCGUCUCCUCUGUCUUCCCACCCUGGACCACACAAUGGCCCCUUCACUCUUGUCUUUUGCUCCAGCCGUGUCCUCUCCUUCUGCUCAGGUGUCCUCACCCCAUGUCAGGGAACACAGUCCAGCGGCACCCUGGAGAGCCGGGGUGGUGAACGGGAAGGACAAGGGGUUGCCUCAGGAGCUGGCAUUGGGACAGCUGCUGGCCGGGGUUCCCCAGCGGCUGCAGUCGGCCACCACAGCCCCGAGGGCACAGCUCCUGCUGAGACCUAGAAGGGCACAGGGCUCUCGGGCCUGCUGCGCCUCGAGUCACUCUGGUCUUCCUGGGACACUCUUUACUGAGCUGAGCCGUGGCACAACCCAUUUAUUUUAAAAUCUGCGUAGAGCAGGCCAUUUUCCUCAGAGGUGGCCAAGUGAAUUUGUGAAUGAACGGAGUUCAAUAUGGUCAAUAAAUUAACUUGCUUCAAGUCACAGGGCGGGAUGAUGGCAGAGUCCCCACCAGAUUCUCCUAUCAAAGAUCUUUCUGUUUGGUUUUUAAUCUCUCCUCUUAAUUGGUGAUCAAAUGAGUGAAGCUGCAUUGUAGAUUCUCUUCCACCACUAAGUUGGGGAUUUUCCUCCUCCGUAGGGCUGACAUUUGGGGCCUCAGAGUCCACCGUGGGGACCUCCCUGGGCACUGCAGGCUAUUUGGCAACACCCCUGCCCUCUGAUCACUGGGUAUUGAUAGUGGCCUCCUUUGCCCCGAGGUCAUGACAACCCAAAAUGUGUCCAGAUUUUGCCAAAUGUCCCCUGGGGGAAAAAAUGGCCCAGUGGAGAACCACCAUCGUGUGACAAACUCGAUGUAGAGAGUGGCCAAGGGCAUUGCCCACUCUCUGCCCAUCAUAGAAAGAGUUUUAGCCAAUUCCCCUUUAACAGAGCAGGAAAUUAGACAAAUGUAAAUUUAGAAGGAAUUUUAACAAUAAAUUUAGAAUCCAAAAGGGUUUUACAAGCAAUUUGCCGUUAAUGAGGGUAUUUAGUUGACCAGAUUCCCUACUUUUUUAGAAUUUUGGUUAAUAAGUAUCAGCUUUAUGGGAUUCCCAAGUACCCUGGGUUAGGCAGGCUGUGGGGUCCUGCCCAUUAAGGAGACAUUUUCUCAAAGUCUUUUUUGGGUUGCUUGGCUCAGACUUUCACCCAGGAUCAGAACUUCAGGUGAGUCAUGGUAACAGGAAGGGUGGGGGGAGAGACUGUUAGAACCAGAGGCCCCACGACAAACGUGGUCCAUUUUUAAGGGCUUGAUGUUAAUUUCUAGAACAUUCUGUCAACAUCAGCCUUGAACCGAGCCUGAGAUGCAGACAUGAACACAGUUGCUCGGAGCCAGUGUGACUUUCAGGGUCUGGGAUGCUCCCUGGCUUUUGCAGUGGGUGGGACUGGAGACCUCAUUAGUAAACUCCUGUUAAAAUGUGAGUCCUCUUAGCUGGAUAUAUCCAAAUACAAGAUGUAUCUUUCCCCGCUGGCAGAAUCAAUAAAUUUGCACGAUGCACAUUAAAUGUUUAAUUAAAGCUCAAUGUGCAAGCAUUUUCGGGAAGUUAUAAAAGCCCUCUGCAGGAGGCCUGGAAGCUAGGGGUGCCUGUGGAUUUGCCAGGGCUCCAUCCAUCAGUCACCAGGGGCCACUUCCUUCCGAUGCUGUUUUGUAUGUGAGUUAUGUUGCAUGUCUCAAAGCUGAUGAUGAACGUAUGACCAUGUUCGGGUGACCCCCAAGAUUACAAACACAGGAGCCUUCAGGAGCAAAACAGGUGGCCAGAAUCUCCCUCCUGCCAGCAUUGACACUGACCCCUCUACAAGGAAGGGGAACUGGAGGCUCUGCACAAGGCCCAUGCUGGGGGAACAGAAGGAUUCCAAGAGCAAUUUGAAGCUGCAAGGGGAAAGUGUGAGAGACGGAAUUGCACUCCUUUGGCUCUCCUUGCCAGAGAGAGUGCCCGGGUCUUGGAGCUGGAUGCAUUCCCGAGCAAGAUGCCAGGCUCAGAUGAUGCACCCUGGGCGCUCUUGCACCGUGGGAUGGAGCCUUAUUUAGUAGCUGUAUUAAUUGAACCCUCACGCUGUGUGGCUUGGUGGAGUUCACAUCAGAACAUCUCCUCGCCGCUGGAGAUGUCCCUUCCUGAGUUCCUUCGCCCUCCAGAUCGGAGCUCUUCCUGGCUGAUUUUGUUUUUCAUUCACCUUUGCCCAGGCGUUCCCUGAGUGUCUGUGAAUGGUGCAGCUGUUUGUCCCGAUCUUUACCUUUAUUGAGCAUCUAUUCAGUGUCAGCCACCACAGUAAGUGAUUUACCCGCAACAUCUUCUUCAACCUCCACGGGCGCCCCAGGAGGUGGGAUGGGUGACUUCCCACACCCUGUGUUUGUCUCUCUGCUGGCUUUUCUACCUUUUCCUGGUAGCCCUGGUUUCUUCUACCUCCUUCUUCUUUUUCUUUUCCCUUCCCUUUGUCCUUAACCAACUCCACCUUGGAAGGGUAAAUGUCGUCAUUUGACUGCACAUUCUAGUGUCUUCUUGAAUUUAAAAAUCUGGUCCCUGACUCUGUUCCAGCCUCAGUUUGAGCCACACCCUCGGGGCUUCCCAUAUUCCAGCCACACACACCAGCUUUCUUUUCUGCUUCUCCAUGCUCUUUCCCACCCCAGGGCCUUUGCACACGUUUUUUGCUCUCUUCCACUGUAAUUCUCUUUAAUCUUAUUUGCUUAGUUAACGCCAUACACCCAGUACCAUCUUUGUGUAGCUUGUGGGCUAAGAAUGUUUUUGUGUUUUAAGGAGUUUGUUUGUUUGUUUAGAAGAAAAAGAAGGAGAAAGAAGAGAAGGAAAUAAGGAGAGGAGAAGGAGAAGCCUCAGCGGUAGCAGCACUCGUAUACUGCAUGGUCCAUGACACUUACGAUGGCUUGCUCUCCGGCCCUUACAGGAGAUGUCUGCAGCUUUCAUAGAGAUCCUGGGUCCAAGCGGGUAACUCCACAGGCAGGGAUGUUUCUGCCUGGUUCAUCCUUUGCCCCAAAUGCCCAGUUCAAAGCCUCUCACAAAGCAGGCGCUCAAUAACUUGGUGAGAUGGAAGAAUGACUGAAGAGUCCUCAUCUUCCCUCCUUUGCGCUUCCCUAAGCGGCAGGAGCCCGCCAGAGCGCUCAGGCUCCACCAAUAGCCGAGGACCCUUCUGCAGCCUGGGCCCCCAGUGCCGCCCCUGCUCAUGGAGUCUGCACUGGGCCUCGCCCCACUUGUGCGCAUUCCCCCACAUUCCUCCUCCUCGUCCUGGGAAAUCUCGUUGGUCACCAGGUCUCAGCUCAAUUCCCGUCUCCCCGGGGAAUUUUUCUCUGAGCCUCAAGAAAGCCUGGAUGGUGUUUCUUCCUGCUCCACACCUCUUUGGCCUACUUGUACCCAAACUCUGACGCCUCCGUCUCGUAAUUGCUUUUUGGAGUGUUUCUCUCUCCGUCAGGUGCGGGGUGCCGGGGGACAAGGAUGCUGCUGCUGUUCAUCUUGCAUUCCUGCACCCGCGAUGAUCCGCAGCCCACAUCGGGCACUCAGAGACGUGUCGGAUGGACAGGUGGAGUGGAUGGACGGAUGAAUGAGCAGGGGGGAUGAUUGAAGGCCAAAAGCCAUUCCCCUUCACCGGUGUGUCGGGAAAGGAAUCAGAGGUUGGUUUUUAAACACAUCUAAAACUCUUUUUGUGUUACCAAUGUCAAGAUGUGCUUGGCACGUACCUUUAUGACUCGUGGCUGAUUUACAGAAGAGUUGUUUUAUUCCUUAAUUCCAAUGCAGGUGGCUUUCGGGGCUCCUUGGCCUGCCUGUGACUGGCUCCCAAGUGCUGUGGAAGACUGUUGGGGGGCGGGGGAACACCUGCUCGAUCUGAGUUCAAAACUUGCAGCGAGGUGCAAUCCAAGCAGGCAGAGAACUGGUAGGGAAUACCUGGGAAUUCAUCCUCUUCAGGGUGGUGUGAGCAUCAUGGGUUUGUAAUUCAUUUAUUUUUCUAUUUUAAUUUAUGGAACUAUUGUCCUAAUAUUAUUUGGCCAAUAAAGAAAAUAGAUAUCUGGUCGUUGGAGGCAUCUCUGCUUGGAUCCUUGGAUUGCAAAUCAGUAAUAAGAGGAAGGACAUUUUUUCAAGCCUGUGUCUGAGAAGUUGGAGGUAUCAGCAUACAG
Molecule: long non-coding RNA, 22235 nt
Filed under: Marmota monax (woodchuck)
Lineage: Eukaryota; Metazoa; Chordata; Mammalia; Rodentia; Sciuridae
Source: RNAcentral